ACAUUUUUAAUACACUUAAUCACUUAACUGUCUCCUAAGGAGAAGAUCCCUCCUGCUCCCUUGUGCUCUCCCUGCGCACCGAGAGCGAUUCACAACUUCUGACACCGCACAAACACACUGGGCACGGCGCGCUGAGGCCGACAACGAGAGGGUUUACUUGGGCAACACCACGCAGAAGACGGCAAGAACCCAUCCGUCUGCAGCGAGAUAAAUGCCUUUGGCCAGCCAUAUGCCUGAAGCAAACAAAGUGCCUUAUUUAUUUGUGCCUUAAAGACCAGGACCACCAGAAAGCCUGAAAUUAGAAACUUUGGAAGCAUGAAGUGUGUGCUGGAGGGAGGAAUGUAUGGCAUAAGUAGAUGGAGACUGCCAGUGAUUGCUGGAUCUUUCCUUCUCCAG
Molecule: long non-coding RNA, 396 nt
Filed under: Zonotrichia albicollis (white-throated sparrow)
Lineage: Eukaryota; Metazoa; Chordata; Aves; Passeriformes; Passerellidae
Description: lncRNA (ENSZALG00000006558.1)
Source: RNAcentral